GGGUUGCUUCAGAACUUUGAGAAGGAUCACCAACUCCUCAAGGAGUCGGUGAACUCAGUGGGAGGUUCAUCUUCUGGUUCUCGACCCUUUGAGAAAGGGAAGAAGAACAAGAAGAAGAAAGUGAAGAAGGUGCAAGUUUAGGCUGAGACAUUAGUGCAGAGCCAGACCAAAAAGAUCAAGCCUGAUAAGAGUCUAUUCUACUGGCAAGCACCCUAGAUUAGAUAGUGUGUCAGAUA
This 236-nucleotide long non-coding RNA is filed under the name Elaeis guineensis (African oil palm). RNAcentral's name for it is "long non-coding RNA (EGUI_LNC070098)". Lineage: Eukaryota; Viridiplantae; Streptophyta; Magnoliopsida; Arecales; Arecaceae. The record is from RNAcentral.